UACGAAGGGGGCGAGCGUUGUUCGGAAUUACUGGGCGUAAAGCGUGCGCAGGCGGUUUUGUAAGCCAGAUGUGAAAUCCCCGGGCUUAACCUGGGAAUGGCAUUUGGGACUGCAAGGCUCGAGUGCGGCAGAGGAGACUGGAAUUCCUGGUGUAGCAGUGAAAUGCGUAGAUAUCAGGAGGAACACCGAUGGCGAAGGCAGGUCUCUGGGCUGACACUGACGCUCAUGCACGAAAGCGUGGGGAGCAAACAGG
RNAcentral lists this ribosomal RNA (253 nucleotides) under uncultured bacterium. Its description in RNAcentral is "partial 16S ribosomal RNA". It matches the Rfam family "Bacterial small subunit ribosomal RNA", at positions 524 to 776 of the family's 1533-position model. The record is from RNAcentral.